AGAAUCAUUUCAUUCCUAAAGCGAGUAAAAUGACAAGGUUUUGGACACAAUGAAUUUCCCUUUUGCCAAUCUGCAAUACCAUCACUAGAGCAUGAAUUGAGUGAGUUGAGCUGGGAUAUCUCAGGAAGUAACUUUAAAAAUUGCCGUGCUAACAGCUUUGCCUUGGAAGGAUGAGAAGCCCUUGGCAUACAUAGAUCUCCAGAUUUCCUAUAAACCUACUUGAUUCCUUGUAAAACAUUUUUAAUUCUCUUGGCAAAACCCCUAAGCCCCUAUGGGGAUGCCUUCACAUCUUGCCUUUUUGAGCUCCAUCUCCCUCUUUCCAUUCCUUUUCUAGGUGAGAGGAAGCCAAGAAUUCCCAAGUUGUCUGUGAUAUACUGCCUUUGUCACUGGACACCCUGCCUCUGAUGGGGACCAGCUCCUGCCUUUUGCUCACCACUACAAAUGCCACUGCCUUGAGAAUUACUGACAUUGUCACUGAGGGGGCUAUAGUCGUGUGAGUAUAAAUAAACACAGUGCUAGAAAAGACACUCAGGGAUAAAUAGCAAAGGUAGUGCAUAGUGUGAGACCAAAAUAACUUCGUGCUGUUCACUGAAAGUACCUUCCACUGGCUGUCUUGUGCUGGCUGUUUCCAGCCAAGGUCCUUGUCUUCCCCCAAAAGGCAAAAAGCACAUGUGACUUCAGAAGCCAUGGGGCUCCUCUCUGUCCCUCCAAGAUGGUGACACUGAGGAGCUGGGACGCACUUGCAAGUACACUAGUCAUACAACUUCUGAAAGGUUAUACAUGGGACUCAUAUUUGGACCAUCAUCAGACAAUAGUUCAGACUCAACAUCAAGCAGAAGGGCUACUGUUUAAAGAGAUGAUCUAAAUUGUCUCUUUCAUUGCUAAUAGGACAUUCGUGGCUCCAUGUACUCAGUCAGCAGGGGAUGGAGUGUCUUGCUUGUCCAGAUACAUGGUCUGCUGCUACAGGCCUGGAAAAAUCUGCUUGUGCUUCCAACCAGAAGUCUCCAGAGGAUUCAGGAGCCUCCAACAAAACUUUUCUGAAACAGUGUUGAAAUAAAAAACGUUCACAUGUCCAGAACACUGAUUAAACCUAAAUUAAACCUGAA
Long non-coding RNA from Pseudopipra pipra, 1106 nucleotides. RefSeq lists it as uncharacterized. The record is from RefSeq and is a predicted model, not a curated record. NCBI's taxonomy places the organism in Eukaryota, Metazoa, Chordata, Aves, Passeriformes, Pipridae. The transcript has 3 exons.